AAAGAUUAAGCCAUGCAUGUCUAAGUACAAGCGAAAAUAAAGUGAAACCGCAAAAGGCUCAUUAUAUCAGUUAUGGUUCCUUAGAUCGUAUCCACAAUUACUUGGAUAACUGUGGUAAUUCUAGAGCUAAUACAUGCAAUUAAAGAGAAACCAGUAAAAUGGGAUCUCUGCUUUUAUUAGAUUUAAACCAAUGGGGAUUGCUUCGGCUUUCUCAAUUAAAAUGGUUGAACUCUGGAUAAUUUGUUGAUCGCAUGGUCUUGUACCGGCGACGGAUCUUUCAAAUGUCUGCCCUAUCAACUAUUGAAGGUAGUGUCUUGGACUACCUUGGUUGCAACGGGUAACGGGGAAUCAGGGUUCGAUUCCGGAGAGGGAGCCUGAGAAACGGCUACCACAUCUAAGGAAGGCAGCAGGCGCGUAAAUUACCCACUCCCGGCACGGGGAGGUAGUGACGAAAAAUAACAAUACAAGACUCACAUCCGAGGCCUUGUAAUUGGAAUGAGUAGACUUUAAAUCCUUCUACAAGGAUCAAUUGGUGGGCAAGUCUGGUGCCAGCAGCCGCGGUAAUUCCAGCACCAAUAGCGUAUAUUAAAGUUGUUGCGGUUAAAACGUUCGUAGUUGAACUUGUGUUUCGCACGGGCAAUACCUAGGACUAGGUAACUAGGACGGUAUUUGUCUUAUCUUUCCAUAUUCUUAAUAGGAAUUUGGAAAAAGUGCGUGAACGUAUUAUCGGCGUGUUUAUAUUUUAUUUUUAUAAAUGAAAUUAAUCACAUAAGCCCAUUUCAGUGCUCUUUACCGAGUGUUGUUGUGGGCCGAUACAAAUUACUUUGAACAAAUUAGAGUGCUUAAUGCAGGCUUGUAAUGCCUGAAUAUUUUGUGCAUGGAAUAAUGAAAUAGGACAUCUGUUCUACUUUCAUUGGUUUUUUAGACCAAGAUGUAAUGAUUAAUGGAAGCAGUUGGGGGCAUUAGUAUUACAACGCGAGAGGUGAAAUUCUUAGACCGUUGUAAGACUGACUAAAGCGAAAGCAUUUGCCAAAGAUGUUUUCACUU
RNAcentral lists this ribosomal RNA (1047 nucleotides) under Proceroplatus sp. 2 NB-2020. RNAcentral describes it as "bacterial SSU rRNA". It matches the Rfam family "Eukaryotic small subunit ribosomal RNA", at positions 39 to 975 of the family's 1831-position model. RNAcentral also lists the same sequence under 1 other name. The record is from RNAcentral. Lineage: Eukaryota; Metazoa; Arthropoda; Insecta; Diptera; Keroplatidae.